GGAUGUGAGGGCAAUCUGGCUGUGACAUCUGUCACCCCACUGAUCACUAGGGUGGCGUCGGCCCAUCCGGCUGGCCAACGGCCGGGCACCUGGCAGGUGUCACCUUCCUCUCUCGCUGCCGCACGUGUGUCCCUCCUGAAGCUGCGUGCUCGGUCGAAGAGGACGGCCUUCCCUGACAGAGGAGGACCAUUCUCUUGGGUCAAGGGUAUAUGAGAUGAAUAGCCGUGAUCUCCUCCUAGAAGCCCCAAACAAGCUCUUCAGGUUCGUUAGUAGGAGAACGUAGGGCAGUCAAGCUUCCAAGAUUCCAGACACACCCUAAACGGGGCACUGCAUGGGGCCGUCUGCCUUUCAUA
Panthera pardus (leopard) is the source of this 353-nucleotide unclassified non-coding RNA. Its record names the gene 7SK. It matches the Rfam family "7SK RNA". From Rfam's summary of the family: 7SK was discovered as an abundant small nuclear RNA in the mid-70s but a possible function has only recently been suggested. Two independent studies have found that 7SK RNA binds the CDK9/cyclin T complex (known as elongation factor P-TEFb). The record is from Ensembl. Lineage: Eukaryota; Metazoa; Chordata; Mammalia; Carnivora; Felidae.